Molecule: ribosomal RNA, 229 nt
Filed under: uncultured bacterium
Lineage: Bacteria
Description: partial 16S ribosomal RNA
Rfam family: Bacterial small subunit ribosomal RNA
Source: RNAcentral
UACAGUGGCGUACGGGUGAGUAACACGUGGAUGAUCUACCUCUUGAUGGGGGAUACCUCUGGGAAACCGGAGACAAUACCGCAUAAGCUCGAGAGAGGAAAGCCGCAAGGCGUCGGGAGAGGAGUCCGCGGCCGAUUAGCUAGUUGGUAGGGUAAAAGCCUACCAAGGCAAAGAUCGGUAGCCGGCCUGAGAGGGCACACGGCCACACUGGCACUGAAACACGGGCCAG